CUUUUCCGCCAUGUCGGGCUUUGCCUGCGUUUCCCGCCGGCCCUCAGGUGGGUCUGGCGGGGAAAGGUCCUACCCUGCUCUGCUCACCUGGCGCACGGGGAGCAGCUCGCCGGGGGCUUGAAGAGCCGGAACUUGACAGCCGGGGAGGCAGCGAAAAACCUAUGGGGAAAAGCUGCGUUGUCUAGGCACGUUCCCGUGUACUUAGCGCGGAUGGCACUUAGGGAAGCUAAGCCAACUACUCCUGCUGCACGCAUGCCUGAAUUUAUUACAUUGUUCUGCGGAGCUGAGAGAUUCUUCUUCCUGUUGGUCUGUCCCUGUGUGUAGCAGGAGUUCACAGGAUUAGAAUGAGUCAGAAAUUAAAGCAUGAGCCACUCCCUCAAAGUUUGGACAUCCUUGGAAACCUUUAAAUCCCACUCCCACUUCAAGUGAUUUGUGAGGGCAAGUGUUCCAACUAAGAGCUUGCAGUUGGACACUGCCUUCGCUAAGAUCAAGCUCUCAUCAGGCUCAGAUUGUCAGGGCUAUUUUCAUGAGAUGAAAGAAAUCUUAAUUAAGUGUUCAUAUCUUUGUCAGCCAGACUCAGAAUAAAAAUUGAUGCGAUUCCCUUGAGCUUUACUGCUUGUUAUACUCGGCAACAAAGAUACUGGGAAGAAUAAUGUGAAUCUCAUUUAACAUCACAAAGGAGCUUUCCACAGCAGGAUGGGCUGAUGUGGAACUAUUAAAUUUGCAUAAAAAAACCUCUCCACUUUUUUGUCCCUGAAAAAAAAAAAAAAAAGGUAAAAAAGGAAAAGAAAGAUUUAAAGAAUAUUUUGAGAAUGAUUGCAUUGUUUCUUAUACUUAAGGGAAGAGCUAACAGGCUAAUGAUUUUAGUCCUACCCUCUGUGAAAGAUUCCAGUUCUUCCAUGCCACAGGCAGCCCAGAUGACCUCAGGCAAGAGACUUCCUUCUCGCUGAGCCUUAAUUCUCUCCUUUUUGCUAGUUCAGAGAGGAUUUGUGAGGCUAAAUAUAUUAAAAGCUCUGGGCUCAGCUUACAGUCGUGACAGGCUGAGCAAAAUCCUCAGAGUCAGCGAGUAGUAGUGAUAAAACUUCCUCACAAGCAGACCAUGGCAUGCAGGACCAAACCAUCCACAACAGUAAGAGCAGGAAGCCAUAUACAGAUCUGCAAGUCAGAAGCAGCUGCAGAAGAAUGAUUUGGAUUCCUUUACCAGCAUGACAUUUUAACUCCUUCCCUCUCAGCAGGUAGGGAGGGUUUGAUAUCGAGGUGCUCCUCAUUAGCCAAACUAGUCGGGCUUUGAAAACCCAUGUCUAGACAGGAGAUUUGCACUUCUGUCUUGAGAGAGCCUGAUAAUGUUUUACCAAACACAAAUUAGUUUUGGAUAAUCAGAUUUUAAUAAGGUGACAGCAAAACAACUAGGAUCAGGUAAAUGAGAGAUCAGACUUCAACUUCUUUAAAAAUUUAAAGUCCUACACUUGCAAGAUGUCAAGGCAAUGCAGCACUAAGACUGUUUUCUGCUAGGUUUUGUAAUACCAUAGUUUUUCUCUUUUGUGCUGUUCUUCAGUCUAUCCCUUGGCUAGAAGAUGGUGGAUUAAUGCUGUAACCAUACACUGAACUAUUACCAGGAUGGCAAUAUUUUGAAGAAUAAGGUGCUGUUCUGUUUCUGCAUUUGCUGUGUUGUGUGAAUGGAAACCUACAGACUCUGAACUGAUAACCAUAUGUAACCUCGGGCAGAGUUCAUAUCACUUCAUAGUGAAAAUAUUGUCCUGAUGGGGGUUGAGAAACAAAGGUGCAGUGAGAUGCACUGAUCUGACUACUACAGGUCAAUCAAAGUUCUAGGAACAUCUUGUUCAUUGGCUUCUUUGCCUGGAAAUAAAAGGUACAGUGCAGGACAUGUUGGAGCUCCUCCAUCCCAAAUGGAAGGCCCUUGAAUAUGAGGGCAGGAACAAGCUACUGCUAUUUUUAUUUUUUUUUUUCCUAUAACUUUAUGCAUGUGCCUGCUACUCUGCAUUCUAAAACUAAAAACAAAAACCAACAACAAAAAAGGUUUGUUAGCUCCUCAGAUUCAGUUAUUUUCCAUGCUGAACAAACAUUUUUAGAUUAAAAAAACUAAAGUUUUUCAACAUCACAGACAAAGUCAUAUCUUUACAUAGAAACUGCAAUAUAUAGUACUGUAUCACCUUAGCAGAAUUUAGAAAAAUCUACAGAACUGGUGCAGAAGGUGUGAAAAAUACCCAGGUUGAAAGUAUGGAUUGACUGUUUCUUUCCUUUAAAAAAGGUAAGAAUGUACUAGAGUAAAAGCAAUGCAUUAACAUAUCAAUGAGAGGAAAAAACUCUCAAAUAAAUUAGUCAGGAGGAAGCUUUCCUGUUGGUGACUCAUACAGCCAAAUCACAGAUAGCCUGAAGUCAGCAUUAACAAAUUUUACUAUCCUUUUUCUCCAAGAUGAAUUUUGUAGGAAAACAAUCUAAUUUGGAGAAUGGACUGUUUCUGGGUUACUUGCUGUAUGCUCAGAUUUUCUAAAUCAAAUACUGAAUAAAAAUUCUUGUCUUCA
Long non-coding RNA from Vidua macroura (Pin-tailed whydah), 2543 nucleotides. RefSeq lists it as uncharacterized. The transcript has 2 exons. NCBI's taxonomy places the organism in Eukaryota, Metazoa, Chordata, Aves, Passeriformes, Viduidae. The record is from RefSeq and is a predicted model, not a curated record.